GGAAGCAUUAGUGCAAAAAGAGGACAGAAGCAUCAUGAAGAAUAUUUGGAAUAACGUGGCAAGUAGAGGGCAACGAAACUUAUUUCAUACAUUUUGAUUUCAAGAUGCUAAUACCAGGAAUUAAGCCCUAGGUGAUAAUCAGAGGCAUUACAGGGAAGGAUCACGACAAGACACUCCUCUCCACUCUCUGACAUCGAGACAAACGGAUGACCUAGACUCGGCUAAUCGAAAGCAAACACCCCGAACCUUGAGGGACAGAAGCAAAGCUGCAGGGAAAUGAUUAAUGGAGACAGUGAUGGUAGCAGCAAUGAGCAUCUCUUGGAGAACAAACGUCUGGUGGAGCCAGGGGCAGCCAGCCCCUAACCAGGCUGUUCCUAAAGCCAUGUCUAUGGCUGCCUGGACAUCUGCCUGGUGUACAAACCUGGUUCCCCAAACUUCCCAUUGAGUCUAUGGACUACUCACAACUCCCAAUAAAUUCAUUUUGUGUUGCUUUA
Molecule: non-coding RNA, 494 nt
Organism: Macaca mulatta (Rhesus monkey)
Lineage: Eukaryota; Metazoa; Chordata; Mammalia; Primates; Cercopithecidae
Source: RefSeq, a predicted model, not a curated record